GAUGUUUGAUGUGUUUUGUGAACAGCUGCUAACUGUUUUUUAGUUUUAAGCUAAGUUUGU
Molecule: transfer RNA, 60 nt
Filed under: Mesabolivar sp. ITV1036I2
Lineage: Eukaryota; Metazoa; Arthropoda; Arachnida; Araneae; Pholcidae
Description: tRNA-Ser
Source: RNAcentral